GGUGUUUCUGCAUGGAUUAAAGGAAGAAGUCUGGCAUAUGUUCCAUCUUGAGAAAAGAUUACAUAAUCUAGAGUUGGCCUUCUAAGAAACAUCCCAGGUUGAAGAAUAAUACCAGUUGACAGGAAACAAGAAGUCAAGAGUGCAGUCUUGGCAGUUGUUAUAUGAGGUGUAGAAAAACAUCCAAAGGAGUGUAGCAGUAAGAGGAUUGGUUUUGGCUUCAGUUAAUGUGCCACUGGUUUCUGAUGGGAGUCUUGCACAUGCUGCUACAUCUAUUCUAGACAAAGAUGGUCAGCUGCUUACAAUGAGUGAGCUAUACACAUGAUCUAUUGUAGUACAGCUGUCCUCGAGUUUCAGGAGAUUGGUUACCUUGUGUAGGCCUUCAACAAAUUCAUGUCUGCAGAGGUCUCAUCACUUAUCAUUGGGCAAAUGAUUAAUGGACUGGAAUGCAGAAAUGAUUCUCAGGGAUGAGAGUAGCUGCUGUAAGUUGGGAAGGUUGGAUCAUCCUGGCAGACAACUCUUAAAAGUUGACAACUGGGGAAAUAGCAGCAUCAGAAGGGCCAUACAAUAAGGAAACAGCCUGGUAUGUAUAUUUAUUAGUUCUUUUGCUUGUUACACUAAUGAUAUUUAGAAUUGUAAAUGACUAGCGUAACACCUUCGGAAUAAUAAAUAUAUAGCUGUAAAAGCUUCAUAAAAUGUAACUAAAUGUAAAUUAGUAGGUGCAAAGUAAAUUUCAUAUGCUAUGAUUUCUAGUAAUAGACUGCAAUAAAGGUAUGAUUCAA
This is a long non-coding RNA of Macrobrachium nipponense, 779 nucleotides long. RefSeq lists it as uncharacterized. Lineage: Eukaryota; Metazoa; Arthropoda; Malacostraca; Decapoda; Palaemonidae. The transcript has 8 exons. The record is from RefSeq and is a predicted model, not a curated record.